AGAGUUUGAUCCUGGCUCAGAGUGAACGCUGGCGGCGUGGAUUAGGCAUGCAAGUCGCGCGAACCCGCAAGGGUUAGCGGCAAACGGGUGAGUAAUGAAUGAACAAUCUGCCCUUGAGUCAGGCAUAGCCUCGUGAAAACGGGGGUAAUUCCUGAUAAUAUCAUUGAAGCGCAUGCUUUAAUGAUUAAAGGUGGGGACCGCAAGGCCUACCACUUAAGGAUGAGUUCGUUUCCUAUCAGCUAGUUGGUGAGGUAAUGGCCCACCAAGGCUUAUGACGGGUAGCUGGUCUGAGAGGAUGGUCAGCCACACUGGGACUGAGACACUGCCCAGACUCCUACGGGAGGCUGCAGUCGAGAAUAUUUAGCAAUGGGCGAAAGCCUGACUAUGCGACGCCGCGUGAGGGAUGAAGGUUUUCGGAUCGUAAACCUCUUUUGUCAAGGGAGAAAAAACUGCAUUUAAUAAAUGCAGGACUGACGGUACUUGACGAAUAAGCCACGGCUAACUCCGUGCCAGCAGCCGCGGUAAUACGGAGGUGGCAAGCGUUACUCGGAAUCAUUGGGUGUAAAGGGCAAGUAGGCGGUCCAAUAAGUGAGGGGUGAAAUCCUGCGACUCAAUCGCAGAACUGCCUUUCAUACUGUCGGACUUGGGGUAGGAAGAGGAAAAUGGAAUUCUAGGUGUAAGGGUGAAAUCUGUAGAUAUCUAGAAGAACACCAACGGCGAAGGCAAUUUUCUACUCUUAUCCUGACGCUAAAUUGCGAAAGCUAGGGGAGCGAACAGAAUUAGAUACCCUGGUAGUCC
This 798-nucleotide ribosomal RNA is filed under the name uncultured bacterium. Its description in RNAcentral is "bacterial SSU rRNA". It matches the Rfam family "Bacterial small subunit ribosomal RNA", at positions 8 to 796 of the family's 1533-position model. The record is from RNAcentral.